This 407-nucleotide ribosomal RNA is filed under the name uncultured bacterium. Its description in RNAcentral is "partial 16S ribosomal RNA". It matches the Rfam family "Bacterial small subunit ribosomal RNA", at positions 28 to 526 of the family's 1533-position model. The record is from RNAcentral.
GACGAACGCUGGCGGCGUGCCUAAUACAUGCAAGUAGGACGCAGUUGCGAACGGGUGAGUAACGCGUAGGUAACUGCCUCUUAGAGGGGGAUAACUAUUGGAAACGAUAGCUAAUACCGCAUACUAGUAGAUGGACCUGCGUUGUAUUAGCUAGUAGGUAGGGUAAUUGCCUACCUAGGCGAGGAUACAUAGCCGACCGGAGAGGGGGAUAGGCGAAACGGGGCAGGAGACACGGCCCAGAAUCCGACGGGAGGAAGCAGUAGGGAAUCUUCGGCAAGGGGGGGAACCCUGACCGAGCAACGCCGCGUGAGUGAAGAAGGUUUUCGGAUCGUAAAGCUCUGUUGUUAAGGAAGCGGUACUUAACCAGAAAGGGACGGCUAACGACGUGCCAGCAGCCGCGGUAAUAC